RNAcentral lists this transfer-messenger RNA (363 nucleotides) under Salmonella enterica. It matches the Rfam family "transfer-messenger RNA". From Rfam's summary of the family: Bacterial tmRNA, also known as 10Sa RNA or SsrA, is named for its dual tRNA and mRNA-like properties. Its role is to liberate the mRNA from a stalled ribosome. The record is from RNAcentral. RNAcentral also lists the same sequence under 1 other name. Lineage: Bacteria; Pseudomonadati; Pseudomonadota; Gammaproteobacteria; Enterobacterales; Enterobacteriaceae.
GGGGCUGAUUCUGGAUUCGACGGGAUUUGCGAAACCCAAGGUGCAUGCCGAGGGGCGGUUGGCCUCGUAAAAAGCCGCAAAAAAAUAGUCGCAAACGACGAAACCUACGCUUUAGCAGCUUAAUAACCUGCUUAGAGCCCUCUCUCCCUAGCCUCCGCUCUUAGGACGGGGAUCAAGAGAGGUCAAACCCAAAAGAGAUCGCGCGGAUUCCCUGCCUGGGGUUGAAGCGUUAAAACGAAUCAGGCUAGUCUGGUAGUGGCGUGUCCGUCCGCAGGUGCCAGGCGAAUGUAAAGACUGACUAAGCAUGUAGUACCGAGGAUGUAGGAAUUUCGGACGCGGGUUCAACUCCCGCCAGCUCCACCA